This 254-nucleotide ribosomal RNA is filed under the name uncultured bacterium. Its description in RNAcentral is "partial 16S ribosomal RNA". It matches the Rfam family "Bacterial small subunit ribosomal RNA", at positions 524 to 776 of the family's 1533-position model. The record is from RNAcentral.
UACGGGGGGAGCAAGCGUUGUUCGGAUUUACUGGGCGUAAAGGGCGCGUAGGCGGUCGUGACAAGUCACUUGUGAAAUCUCCGGGCUUAACUCGGAACGGUCAAAUGAUACUGUCGGACUAGAGUACUGCAGGGGAGACUGGAAUUCCUGGUGUAGCGGUGGAAUGCGCAGAUAUCAGGAGGAACACCGGUGGCGAAGGCGGGUCUCUGGGCAGUAACUGACGCUGAGGAGCGAAAGCGUGGGGAGCGAACAGG